This 1328-nucleotide ribosomal RNA is filed under the name Eristalis tenax (drone fly). RNAcentral's name for it is "16S ribosomal RNA". Lineage: Eukaryota; Metazoa; Arthropoda; Insecta; Diptera; Syrphidae. The record is from RNAcentral.
AAUUAAUUUUUUUUUAAAAAAAAAUAAAUAUUAAAAAUAAUUAUAAAAUUUUAAAGUUUUAGUAUUUUAUAAAGAAAAAAUAAUUUUAAUAAUAGUUUAUUAGUAUUGUAAAAUAAAAUUGAAAUAUAAUGAAAAAUUUUUAUUUAUAAAGAAAAUUUAAUUUAUUGUAUCUUGUGUAUCAGAGUAUAUUAAAUAAAAAAUAUAUAUAAAUAUUUUUCUCGAUUUUAAAAGAUUUAAUAAAUUAUAAAUGUUAAUGUGAUAAAAUUAUAUUUAAUAAUUUAUUAGAAAUGAAAUGUUAUUCGUUUUUAAAGGUAUCUAGUUUUUUAAGAAAUAAAUUUAAUUUAAUAUUCAAAAUUUAAUUAUUUAUUUAUUUAAUAAAUUAAUUUUUGAAAAUUAAUAUUUUAUGGGAUAAGCUAUAAAAUAAAUUUUUAUAAAUAAUAAAUAAUAUAUAAAAUUUUAUAUGUUUAAAAGUAUCAAUUUUUAUUAAGUUUGUUAUAAAUUAAUUUUUUUUUAAUAAAUUAUUUAUUAUAUUUUAAAUUUUUAUUAAAAUAUUUAUUAAAAUAUUAAAAAUAAAGAAAUAAUGAUAUAAUUAGUAUAUUUUUUUGUAAUAAUAUAUUUAAAAAUGAAAAGUUUAUGUAAAGAAUUCGGCAAAAAUAAUGUUCGCCUGUUUAACAAAAACAUGUCUUUUAGAAUUUAAUUUAAAGUCUGACCUGCCCACUGAAUUUAUUUUUAAAUGGCCGCAGUAUAUUAACUGUGCAAAGGUAGCAUAAUCAUUAGUCUUUUAAUUGAAGGCUGGAAUGAAUGGUUGGACGAAAUAUUAACUGUUUCAUUUAAAUUUAUAAUAGAAUUUUAUUUUUUAGUCAAAAAGCUAAAAUAAAUUUAAAAGACGAGAAGACCCUAUGAAUCUUUAUAUUUAAUAUAUUUUAAUUUUGUAGAUUAUUUUAAUUAUAAUAUUAUUUUUAUAUUUUAUUGGGGUGAUAUUAAAAUUUAAAUAACUUUUAAACUUUAAAUCAUUGAUUUAUGAAUAAAUGAUCCAUUUUUAAUGAUUAAAAAUUUAAGUUACUCUAGGGAUAACAGCGUAAUUUUUUUGGAGAGUUCAUAUCGAUAAAAAAGAUUGCGACCUCGAUGUUGGAUUAAGAAAUAGUUUUAGGUGUAGCCGUUUAAAUUUAAAGUCUGUUCGACUUUUAAAAUCUUACAUGAUCUGAGUUCAAACCGGCGUGAGCCAGGUUGGUUUCUAUCUUUAAAAAAUUAAUAUAUUUUAGUACGAAAGGAUUGAAUAUAUAAAUAAUUAUAUUUUAUAUAUAAGAAUAUAAAUAAUUGUUUAUUAA